UAGUCAUAUGCUUGUCUCAAAGAUUAAGCCAUGCAUGUCUAAGCACAAGCCGAUUAAUGGUGAAGCCGCGAAUGGCUCAUUACAACAGCCAUAGUUUCUUAGAUCUUACUUUUCUAAUUGGAUAACUGUGGUAAUUCUAGAGCUAAUACACGCAAAAAAGCUCAGACCUUACGGAAUGAGCGCAUUUAUUAGAACAAAAACCAAUCGGGCUUCGGUCCGUCAUUUGGUGAAUCUGAAUAACUUUGCUGAUCGCACGGUCUUCGUACCGGCGACAUAUCUUUCAAAUGUCUGCCUUAUCAACUUUCGAUGGUAGUUUAUGCGCCUACCAUGGUUGUAACGGGUAACGGAGAAUAAGGGUUCGACUCCGGAGAGGGAGCCUGAGAAACGGCUACCACAUCCAAGGAAGGCAGCAGGCACGCAAAUUACCCACUCCCGGCACGGGGAGGUAGUGACGAAAAAUAACGAGACGGCUCGCUAUGCGGUCCGUCAUCGGAAUGGGUACAAUUUAAAUCCUUUAACGAGGAUCUAUUG
This 531-nucleotide ribosomal RNA is filed under the name uncultured eukaryote. RNAcentral's name for it is "SSU rRNA". It matches the Rfam family "Eukaryotic small subunit ribosomal RNA", at positions 21 to 550 of the family's 1831-position model. The record is from RNAcentral.